Molecule: small nuclear RNA, 105 nt
Filed under: Cervus hanglu yarkandensis (Yarkand deer)
Lineage: Eukaryota; Metazoa; Chordata; Mammalia; Artiodactyla; Cervidae
Description: U2 spliceosomal RNA (ENSCHYG00000017519.1)
Rfam family: U2 spliceosomal RNA
About the family: U2 is a small nuclear RNA (snRNA) component of the spliceosome (involved in pre-mRNA splicing). Complementary binding between U2 snRNA (in an area lying towards the 5' end but 3' to hairpin I) and the branchpoint sequence (BPS) of the intron results the bulging out of an unpaired adenosine, on the BPS, which initiates a nucleophilic attack at the intronic 5' splice site, thus starting the first of two transesterification reactions that mediate splicing.
Source: RNAcentral
AUCGCUUCUCGGCCUUUUGGCUAAGAUCAAGUGUAGUAUCUGUUCUUAUCAGUUUAAUAAAUAUAUGUAAAUGUAUGGAUUUAAUAUAUAUUCUCUUCUGCCUAU